GCGGGUGUAGUUUAGUGGUAAAACUACAGCCUUCCAGGCUGUUGUCGCGAGUUCGAUUCUCGUCACCCGCU
Molecule: transfer RNA, 71 nt
Filed under: Streptococcus agalactiae
Lineage: Bacteria; Bacillati; Bacillota; Bacilli; Lactobacillales; Streptococcaceae
Also listed under: 1 other name
Description: tRNA-Gly
Rfam family: tRNA
About the family: Transfer RNA (tRNA) molecules are approximately 80 nucleotides in length.
Source: RNAcentral